UAGGGAAUCUUCCACAAUGGGCGCAAGCCUGAUGGAGCAACACCGCGUGAGUGAAGAAGGGUUUCGGCUCGUAAAGCUCUGUUGUUGGAGAAGAACGUGCGUGAGAGUAACUGUUCACGCAGUGACGGUAUCCAACCAGAAAGUCACGGCUAACUACGUGCCAGCAGCCGCGGUAAUACGUAGGUCCCGAGCGUUGUCCGGAUUUAUUGGGCGUAAAGCGAGCGCAGGCGGUUAGAUAAGUCUGAAGUUAAAGGCUGUGGCUUAACCAUAGUAGGCUUUGGAAACUGUUUAACUUGAGUGCAAGAGGGGAGAGUGGAAUUCCAUGUGUAGCGGUGAAAUGCGUAGAUAUAUGGAGGAACACCGGUGGCGAAAGCGGCUCUCUGGCUUGUAACUGACGCUGAGGCUCGAAAGCGUGGGGAGCAAACAGGAUUAGAUACCCUGGUAGUCCACGCCGUAAACGAUGAGUGCUAGGUGUUAGACCCUUUCCGGGAUUUAGUGCCGCAGCUAACGCAUUAAGCACUCCGCCUGGGGAGUACGACCGCAAGGUUG
RNAcentral lists this ribosomal RNA (549 nucleotides) under uncultured bacterium. RNAcentral describes it as "bacterial SSU rRNA". It matches the Rfam family "Bacterial small subunit ribosomal RNA", at positions 355 to 896 of the family's 1533-position model. The record is from RNAcentral.